GGGCGCAUAGCUCAGCUGGCUAGAGCCACCGGCUCAUAACCGGUCGGUCGUAGGUUCGAGUCCUACUGCGCCCACCA
This 77-nucleotide transfer RNA is filed under the name Deltaproteobacteria bacterium. RNAcentral's name for it is "tRNA-Ile". It matches the Rfam family "tRNA". From Rfam's summary of the family: Transfer RNA (tRNA) molecules are approximately 80 nucleotides in length. The record is from RNAcentral. RNAcentral also lists the same sequence under 7 other names. Lineage: Bacteria; Pseudomonadati; Myxococcota; Myxococcia.